CCCGCAAGGCUUAGGAGGUGAGGGUAAGAAAAAAAUUCGUAUAAAAGGAGAGAGAAAAGGAUACAGGCAUCAGUUGGGUGAGCAUCACCGACACGUCAACAACUGUUGUGAACUACCUGUAUGGCUGUACCAAUUGGCUUCUUCAUCGCAUUACCAGCUCGCAACAAUUGUUCGCAGUUAUAGCUAUAAUGUGCUCCUGUCGGAUGUUGUAUCGUUGAUGGCUGGGUCGACCACUAGUUUGUCAAUGUCUUUGUUGUACGGAUACCAAACCGCAAUGUCGACGCCCAUACUACACAACAACAACAUACGCUUCACGGCUUCAGCCGGUUAUUACACUAUCAAGGCUCCAGGGAAUUACACCACAACUUAUGAUGCCCCGAGCUUCUACGACGCCCUGAAUUAUAGAUAUUCUUCAGUUGCUGCAAUCAUUAACUGGCUUUGUGCUGCUGUUGAAUGUUGUAUCGUUGCUUGCCGAGUUGACCACUGGUGUACCGGUGUUCCCUGGGUAUGGCGGAUACCAAGCCACAACGCUGCUGUCUUACUACACAACAAGUAACGACCUGUUACUACACCGGGACUUCCAACUACUACACCGAAAAGGCUGAAUAUUACACAAGGACUUAUGCUACUCCAGUUUACUACACCGAGUAACCUAAACAUUACUCUGCUCCGAGCUACAACAGAGGCUCCUGUUUACUACACCAUCAUCGCCCCCGAGUGUUACACUGCCCCCAACCGCUACACUGAAGCUCCGAAGUACUACACCAUCUAAGGAAAACCAAUUCGCAUUCAUGGAUUACUAUGGUGUUGUGCUGCUGUUGGAUGUUGUAUCGUUGAUGGUUGGGUCGACCACGAGUGUACCGAUGUCUCCUGGGAAUGUCGGAUAUUUAAGAACAACGCCGCCGUCUUACUAACCAACCACAACAUGAUACGCAACGACCAGUUACUACACCGAGGCCCCCAACUAGUACACCAAGGCUCCAGAGUAUUACAUCACAACUUAUGAUGCCCCGAGCUACAUCACCAAAGAUCCUGAGUACUACAUAGAGCCUCCCAAGUACUACACCACCAAGUCUCCGGAGUUCUACACGUAUGCUGCCCCAGCGUAUUGAACCGGUACUACACCACCAAGGAGGCUCCAGAUUAUUACACUUAAACUUACACUGGCCCGAGCUACUACACCGAAGCCCUGAAGUAUUAUUCUCGAUUAUUCUUCCCCGAGCAACACUACCAAAUGGUCGAAUACUACACCGAGGCUGUGAAACACUACACCAUCAAGGCACCGAAGUACUACACCACUACGUAUGCUGCGCUAGCUUACUACACCGAUGUUUGCAAGUACUACACUGUUCCCAGUUCCUACACCGAGGUUCCAAGUAUUACACCACAAAAACGGUCGAAUACUACACAGAUGCGCCCAAAAACUACUCUGCCCCGAGCUACAUAAUCAAAACCGAGGCGGCCAAGUAUUACGUAGCCUCAACUUCCUACACAAUCGCCGUCUCUUCGUAUUUCGUUGAACCGAAAUACUUCACUGAAGCUCGAAUUACCACAACCUAUGCUACACUCAGCUACUACACCGAAUCUCCGAAGUCUUACUCUGCCCCGAGUAACUACACUAACUACUGAGGCACCUGAAUAUUACACCACAACCUACGCUUCUCCAACUUACACAGUCAUAUCUUAUAGUUACUAGUCACUGGGAAUUGUUGAUCUUUAAUGAGAAAAUAAAUUAUUAUAUCUGGGUAAUAA
Molecule: long non-coding RNA, 1752 nt
Organism: Daphnia pulex (common water flea)
Lineage: Eukaryota; Metazoa; Arthropoda; Branchiopoda; Diplostraca; Daphniidae
Exons: 5
Source: RefSeq, a predicted model, not a curated record